Molecule: small RNA, 125 nt
Filed under: Marmota monax (woodchuck)
Lineage: Eukaryota; Metazoa; Chordata; Mammalia; Rodentia; Sciuridae
Source: RNAcentral
GCCGGGUGUGGUGGCACACGCCUGUAAUCCCAGCGGCUCAGGAGGCUGAGGCAGGAGGGUCUCAAGUUCAAAGCCAGCCUCAGCAAUGGCGAGGAGCUAAGUAACUCAGUGAGAUCCUGUUUCUA